RNA transcript from Camellia sinensis, 1265 nucleotides. It is a transcript of the gene named beta-carotene isomerase D27, chloroplastic, with no coding region annotated. The record is from RefSeq and is a predicted model, not a curated record. NCBI's taxonomy places the organism in Eukaryota, Viridiplantae, Streptophyta, Magnoliopsida, Ericales, Theaceae.
ACUUUAAAACAUACUUGAAUUUAGACCAUAGACCCAUCCAAACACACACACACACACUCUCUCUCUCUCUCUCUCUCUCUCUCUCUCUCUCUCUACAUAUGGAAGCAACGCUAGUUUUGCAAAACAGUGGGCCUUUCGCAAGUCGGGGUCGCCGGAAACAACACAUUCACGGCCGCCUGGCGAAACACAGCCGCCCUUGUUCUAUUCUUUCCGUCCUCACAAAACCGACUAUUACGACUACACCGCAAUCAGAUGAUCUAAAUCAAGUUUCAAGCUCCAAUUCUACUGCUGCUGCUACUACUACUACUGUUUAUAGGGAUUCUUGGUUCGAUCGUAUCGCCAUUAACCAUCUCUCCCGGAGCGUUCAAUCCACUACAGGGAUAAGAAAUGAUAAGAGUGGAUAUGAGAGUUUGGUGGAGGCAGCAACGAUGGCGUCGCGUAAAUUCAAUCUCAUACGACAACGUGAGUUAGUCAUUAAAGCACUCGACAAGGCCUUCCCUAGUCCCAUCCUGUCCAUGAUCAGGACAUUGCUACCAAAUUCUAAAUUUGCAAGGGAAUAUUUUGCAGUUUUCACAACUUUGUUUUUCACUUGGUUAGUUGGAGCCAACGAGGUGAGGGUGUCGGAGCUCAACGGACGAAGAGAAAGGAAUGUAGUCCACAUCCAAAAGUGCAGGUUUCUAGAGGAGACCAAUUGUGUUGGAAUGUGCAUCAACCUAUGCAAGAUGCCCUCUCAAACGUUCAUUAAGGACUCCUUGGGUAUGCCGGUCAACAUGGUCCCUAAUUUUGAUGAUAUGAGUUGUGAGAUGAUAUUUGGUCAGGAUCCACCUGCAACAACUGAAGAUCCAGCAUUUAAGCAACCAUGCUACAAACUAUGCAAAACAACCCAAAAGCACAGUACAAGUUGUUCCAGCUAACAUCCAAGGAACUUGUCCAAAAAAAUUAAUAAAAUUCAGUAGUAUAUGGAAGGAGGAAUUCUCAAUCGAGAUUAAUAAUCCAGUAGUCCUGGAGCACAAACUCAACCACACUGACAUCAUGAUGGUGUGGUCCUGGACCAAUAAGAGUAGUAAUCACAGGAUGACAAUAACUUCCUAAACAACAUAAUUGAUUUUGUAAAUGCAUUCAGGCCUUAAAAAUAAACAAAACAGAUUCAAUCUGAAUGGUAAUGACUGCCUCAAAAAUGUUUUCUUUUCUAAUAAAAUUUAGCAUUUUUUCCAUGUAGUAAUAUUGUUGCAAAAGCCAAUUUCAAAACUGCGGACAGAAUGUAA